GUAAUUUGUUUCAGCUUACUGGUGGCAAUUAGCUAAGCAUGUCCUGAUUGGCCAAUUGGUUCACGGGCUAAGGCAAGGACUUCUGAAAACGUGCCUUGCUCAGGGAGUGGGAGGGUGGCUAUUCCAUCAACAGCUGAGAAAAGGCUGCAUCACUGAUUCUCCCACAACAUGGACCGCCCAGCAUGGGAGGGACUUUGUCUUUCAAGAAUUGUGCUGUGGACCUGCAUCUGGGGUGAAGGGCCCAAGUCGAUGGAGUACAACAGCAGUUAGGCUGAGAAGAGAGCUGCAGAAAACCCGACUCUCCACUUUCUGCACUCGCCACAAGAUGGACAAGGACUGUAGCACACAUGGACCCAUAUUUCCCACCAUCGAAAUAAAUGGGCCGGAGAUAGGCAGCAGCCUCUGAGAAGCACCGUCUGUUGUGUAAACUUGCGCCCGCCUAUUAAGGAUGUAUUGGAAUUAAAUCCCUGCCUAGCUCUGUUGAAACUGCUUUGGGAAAAUUCAUAUCAAAUCUGUCCACUGCCGUUAGUUUUUAUGACAGCGCCGUUACAGAGAAAUAAACAGUGUCAUUGGUGAAAGGAAA
Molecule: long non-coding RNA, 583 nt
Organism: Heteronotia binoei (common prickly gecko)
Lineage: Eukaryota; Metazoa; Chordata; Lepidosauria; Squamata; Gekkonidae
Exons: 2
Source: RefSeq, a predicted model, not a curated record